AUGCUCCACUUCUCGGCGGAGUCAUUGGUGGCUCUCAAGGAGAGGGCCCGAGAAGAGCUCCUGGCAGUCGAGGACAAGGUGGGCGCCACCGCCCUGACGCGGUUCCAAGCGAUGACAUCUUUGCUGUGGCGGUGCAUCACGCGCGCCCGGGGGUUGGCGCUGGAGCAGGAGAAGGUGUACCGUGCAGCGAUCAACAAUCGCGGGCGUCUUCGACCGGCGCUGCCGGUGGUGUGCUUUGGGAACACCAUCUACGCUGUUGGCACGGAGGCAGCGCGACCGUGGCAGCUGCUGGCGCACGAUGGGCAUGGGUGGGCGGCGGCUGUCAUGGGGCACACAGUGGCGGCCCACACGGACGCGGACAUCAGGGCACGCAUGGCAGCAUGGAUGGCUAAGCCGAUGGUGUACACCCUGAGCUGGUUCGACCCUUGCGGGACCAUGAUUGGGAGCUCACCGCGGUUCAGCGUGUACAACUGCGACUUCGGCUGGGGGAAGCCGGUGGCGGCAUAG
This 507-nucleotide ribosomal RNA is filed under the name Triticum aestivum (bread wheat). RNAcentral's name for it is "partial small subunit ribosomal RNA". The record is from RNAcentral. Lineage: Eukaryota; Viridiplantae; Streptophyta; Magnoliopsida; Poales; Poaceae.